ACGCUUCUUUUUCCACCGGAGCUUGCUCCACCGGAAAAAGAGGAGUGGCGAACGGGUGAGUAACACGUGGGUAACCUGCCCAUCAGAAGGGGAUAACACUUGGAAACAGGUGCUAAUACCGUAUAACAAUCGAAACCGCAUGGUUUUGAUUUGAAAGGCGCUUUCGGGUGUCGCUGAUGGAUGGACCCGCGGUGCAUUAGCUAGUUGGUGAGGUAACGGCUCACCAAGGCCACGAUGCAUAGCCGACCUGAGAGGGUGAUCGGCCACAUUGGGACUGAGACACGGCCCAAACUCCUACGGGAGGCAGCAGUAGGGAAUCUUCGGCAAUGGACGAAAGUCUGACCGAGCAACGCCGCGUGAGUGAAGAAGGUUUUCGGAUCGUAAAACUCUGUUGUUAGAGAAGAACAAGGAUGAGAGUAACUGUUCAUCCCUUGACGGUAUCUAACCAGAAAGCCACGGCUAACUACGUGCCAGCAGCCGCGGUAAUACGUAGGUGGCAAGCGUUGUCCGGAUUUAUUGGGCGUAAAGCGAGCGCAGGCGGUUUCUUAAGUCUGAUGUGAAAGCCCCCGGCUCA
This 574-nucleotide ribosomal RNA is filed under the name Enterococcus faecium. Its description in RNAcentral is "bacterial SSU rRNA". It matches the Rfam family "Bacterial small subunit ribosomal RNA", at positions 66 to 611 of the family's 1533-position model. Lineage: Bacteria; Bacillati; Bacillota; Bacilli; Lactobacillales; Enterococcaceae. The record is from RNAcentral.